Molecule: long non-coding RNA, 2718 nt
Organism: Artibeus jamaicensis (Jamaican fruit-eating bat)
Lineage: Eukaryota; Metazoa; Chordata; Mammalia; Chiroptera; Phyllostomidae
Exons: 4
Source: RefSeq, a predicted model, not a curated record
CCGGGACUGGCCAGCCCAUCAGGAGCACCGGCUACAGCUCUUCCCGCAGCCCUCGGGGGGUUUUAUUAAAGCAAGAUCUGACGUCAGGGAUUGAAGCCGUGGUCACACAUUUGCAGGAGCGCCUUCCCUGCUCCGGACCCAGGCUCUUUGGGGCUGGUGUCGUUUCCCCAUAGCUGGGCAGCUGUCCUGCUGGGUUUGGGGUGUCUGGCCUUCACCCCCUGCUGGAUGCUUGCCACACAGAGUACUCCUCCCAGCGCCAUGGGAUGCCUUCAGAGACCGCUCUCUGACACUGCAACGGCGAGUCGGUGAAAGAGGGGAGCUGAGCAGGGGCCCUGAGAUCCUGGGUGACAUGGGGGGGGGACAGUCUGCAUGUUCACAGGCGUGAGGCCAGGGUGUCACACGGCGUCACUGGUUCCUGUUGUUCUUGGUGAUUUAUUUUCACCUGUGCUGCAGAGGGUCCAGGGCCCACUGCCAAGGCCGCCCAGGGCCCCCCUCAGAUCGUAGCAUUUACCUGCUCACUCCCACCCACCCCUGCUUCCCACGCCUGUCCCCCGUCCUCCCCAACAAGGAUCUGCAGCCUCGACUUGGCCCGAUUUGUGUGUGUGUCCUUGUCACAUAGGUAGCAUGGCUGUUGCUUUGACAAUGGCAUGUAAAGCACCCACUGCGUGUUAAGCACUGACUGCUCUGAGCACCUUGCAGGCACACGGAGCCCACACAGGGCAGGCAGCACGGCGCCAGAUCCCGGGGCCACUGAGACACGACGUGCCAUUGCCCGGGCACAGAGGCUGCAUCUGCUGAGCCACCCCGGCUGCUCCAGAAGGCAGAGUGUGGAGCAGGGUCCGCUCCAUAAUCCACCACCCUGCCAGGCCGCCUCAGCAGCCCAGGCGGGGCUCUGCCUCGCUUGCCGGGGGCCCAAGCAAGAAGGGGGGAGACACUGAGGGUGUCAGGGUGAAUGUUCUCCAGGCCCCAGCUGGGCCAGCUGGCUGUGCUCUGUGAGGCUGGGCCACUGGGCCACCCCUGAGGGGCUCCCGUACCUGCCGCUCAGUUCCUGAGUCACAGCAGGAGCACACCUUUGGCUUCAGCCUUGGGUGCAGGUGGGGGUCCCCAGGACUCCCCACUCCUCACCUGGGAAGGUGGAGGGGAAAAGCAAGGGCUUUGGAGGCAGGCUGGCCUGCAUUAAACCCCUACUCCAUUACGUGCCAGGCAGGAGGUCUUGGGGAAGCCACGUUACCUCUUUGAGCCUCAGUCUACCUGUCUAUCACUUGGGCGCAGUGAAGACAUCUGCCUCCUAGAGUUGCCACGGGGAAGGAAUUGUGCGGAGACCAGGCCGAUGCUGAGUAAACAGCUGUCAGGAAUACUCUUCAGUGCUCCUCACCGCAGAGACUCCGCCUGCGCCCCCGCCCGGCUCACCUGGAUCUCAACACUCACUCUCCUUCCGAGUCUCCUCCCUGCAGCACGGCUGUGGGUUGGGGCACAGUGUCCCUGCCCCCUCCAGUGAAGCCCCAGGGCUCCCUGAACUCCAGGCGAGGCUUUCUGUCGAUCUCUCUGGCGACACUAAUUGCGGCCCAGGCAGAUGAGGAAACUGGGAGGCGGACACGGCAGUGCCGCCCGGUCUGACUCAGGCCCAACAGCCCCCAGCAGCCCGUGGGACAUCUCUCCCGGAGCAGAGAGGGGUUCAGCUCACCUCGGACCCCUCGCCUGCAAACGCCCAGGCGUCUCAAACUCUUCCACCCAGAGACACCCUUCCCAUCGGGACUGGCAGGGUGUCUGCGGCUUUUCACUCGGAGAAUCUGGGGUGUCUCGGUUACCAGAAACCAGGUCCUGCAGGGCUGUGCCUGCCCCGCAGACAAUCCCUGAGACAGUCCGGGGGCCUUGCUCAUUCGUUCAACGCACAUACGAUAUGGAAUAACCACUAUAGUACAAACGCUCUGUGCCCCAACCAUUCAUCCCUCCCUCCCUCGGCCCCUGGCAACUCUUGACGUUUUUUACUGCUACCACCGUGUUGCCUUCUCCAAAGUGUCACAGCGUUGGAAUUAUACAGUACGUGGUUUCUUUCACUUCGCAACAUGCCUUUACGGUGUCUCCGUGUCUUUUCACGGCUUGACAGCGUGCUGCUUUUCAGCACUGACCCGCCCACCUACCGCAGGACAUCCUGGCAGCUCCCACGUUUCGGCAGUUAUGGAUAAAGCUGCCAUACACAUUCACGCGAAGGAUUUGUGCGGACGUAAGUUUUCAAGUCCCUUGAGUAAAUAAACACCAAGAGGCACAAUUGCUAGAGUAGGUAGGAGUAUGCUUAGGUUUGUAAGAAAGAGCCAAUCUGUCCUCCAGGGUGGCCACACCGUCAGCACCCCACCAACAGGAGUGGGUGCUCCUGUGGCCCCCCAUCCUCGCCGGCACUGGGUGUGGUUGGAGUUCUGGGGUCGGGCCGUCUAAUCAGUGUGCAGUGGUACCCCAUUAUCACUUCAAUUCCUCCCCAUGUGUUAGUUCGUCACCUCAGAGUCACUGGAUGAGGCGGGUGCUGACAUCACCGCAUUUACCUACAUGGAAACUGCAGCUCACAGAGGUAGGGUGUUACCCAAAGUCACAGGAGGGGCAGAGCUGAGGUUCAGACCUCGGACGGCAGGUGCCCUCCUCACUCAGGGGAACGCCUUUCCGAUCAGGAGCUUCGGAGUAUUGGGGGAGUCUGGGAGUCUGGGAGUCCUGGGCAGGUGCGGUAAA